GAUGAACGCUGGCGGCGUGCCUAACACAUGCAAGUCGAGCGAACGGACGAGGAGUUUGCUUCUCUGACGUUAGCGGCGGACGGGUGAGUCACACGUGGAUACCCUACCUAUAAGGCUGGGAUCACUUCGGGACACCGGAGAUAACACCGGAUACUAUCUUGAACCGCAUGGUUCAAUAGAGAAAGACCGUUUUGCUGUCACUUGUACAUGUAUCCGCGUCGCAUUAGCUAGUUGGUAAGGUAACGGCUUACCAAGGCAACGAUGCGUAGCCGACCUGAGAGGGUGAUCAGCCACACUGGAACUGAGACACGGUCCAGACUCCUACGGGAGGCAGCAGUAGGGAAUCUUCCGCAAUGGGCGAAAGCCUGACGGAGCAACGCCGCGUGAGUGAUGAAGGUCUUCGGAUCGUAAAACUCUGUAAGUAGGGAAGAAGAAAUGUAUAAGUAACUAUGCACGUCUUGACGGUACCAAAACAGAAAGCCACGGCUAACUACGUG
This 497-nucleotide ribosomal RNA is filed under the name uncultured bacterium. RNAcentral describes it as "partial 16S ribosomal RNA". It matches the Rfam family "Bacterial small subunit ribosomal RNA", at positions 28 to 507 of the family's 1533-position model. The record is from RNAcentral.